CCUGGUUGAUCCUACCAGUAGUCAUAUGCUUGUCUCAAAGAUUAAGCCAUGCAUGUGUAAGUAUGAACAAAUUCAGACUGUGAAACUGCGAAUCGCUCAUUAAAUCAGUUAUAGUUUGUUUUAUGGUAUCUACUACUCGGAUAAACGUAGUAAUUCUAGAGAUAACACGUGCAACAAACCCCGACUUCCGGAAGGGAUGCAUUUAUUAGUUAAAAGGUCGACGCGGGCUCUUUCCGUUGCUGCGAUGAUUCAUGAUAACUCGACGGAUCGCACGGCCAUCGGGCCGGCGAUGCAUCAUUCAAAUUUCUGCCCUAUCAACUUUCGAUGGUAGGAUAGUGGCCUACCAUGGUGGUGACGGGUGAUGGAGAAUUAGGGUUCGAUUCCGGAGAGGGAGCCUGAGAAACGGCUACCACAUCUAAGGAAGGCAGCAGACGCGUAAAUUACCCAAUCCUGACACGGGGAGGUAGUGACAAUAAAUAACAAUACCGGGCUCAAUGAGUCUGGUAAUUGGAAUGAGUACAAUCUAAAUCCCUUAAUGAGGAUCCAUUGGAGGGCAAGCCUGGUGCCAGCAGCCGCGGUAAUUCCAGCUCUAAUAGCGUAUAUUUAAGUUAUUGCAGUUAAAAAGCUCAUAGUUGGACUUUGGGAUGGGCCGGCCGAUCCGCCUACGGUGUGCACCGGUCAUCUCGUCCCUUCUGUCGGUGAUGCUCUCUGAUAACGCUCAAUCUACAGCUCUUGUGAGUGUAAAGCGGUCGUUAGCAAAUAUAGAACCCAACCUGGGUUGGGUGUCGAUCCCACAGGGAAUAGCUUGGCCAACAAGUAAGCAAAAUUAAUAGACUUUAGGUGCAAGUCUCGUAAGAAGGGGGGAUUCUUGUUUUGCAAGUAAUGUAAACAAAAGCUGAAAAUAAUAAAGUAAAGAGAGAGAUUGUUACGUUGGUUGUAAACAAUGAGAAUUGAAGUGCUGGGGUUAUGUCCACCUUCUGAGGUAUACGUCUCUAUUGGCUAUGAGUGUGUAGAGUUUUGACAUGCAAUUGCUUAUGGAGAAUUGUAGUCGAUGGUAAAUCCAAGCGUCUCUCGACCUAAA
Molecule: ribosomal RNA, 1081 nt
Filed under: Capsicum baccatum
Lineage: Eukaryota; Viridiplantae; Streptophyta; Magnoliopsida; Solanales; Solanaceae
Description: bacterial SSU rRNA
Rfam family: Eukaryotic small subunit ribosomal RNA
Source: RNAcentral